RNAcentral lists this microRNA (22 nucleotides) under Corchorus olitorius. RNAcentral describes it as "osa-miR227". The record is from RNAcentral. Lineage: Eukaryota; Viridiplantae; Streptophyta; Magnoliopsida; Malvales; Malvaceae.
UAUGGUUUUCUCCAAUAUCUCA